AGGGAAUCUUCCACAAUGGGCGAAAGCCUGAUGGAGCAACGCCGCGUGUGUGAUGAAGGGUUUCGGCUCGUAAAACACUGUUGUAAGAGAAGAAUGACAUUGAGAGUAACUGUUCAAUGUGUGACGGUAUCUUACCAGAAAGGAACGGCUAAAUACGUGCCAGCAGCCGCGGUAAUACGUAUGUUCCAAGCGUUAUCCGGAUUUAUUGGGCGUAAAGCGAGCGCAGACGGUUAUUUAAGUCUGAAGUGAAAGCCCUCAGCUCAACUGAGGAAUUGCUUUGGAAACUGGAUGACUUGAGUGCAGUAGAGGAAAGUGGAACUCCAUGUGUAGCGGUGAAAUGCGUAGAUAUAUGGAAGAACACCAGUGGCGAAGGCGGCUUUCUGGACUGUAACUGACGUUGAGGCUCGAAAGUGUGGGUAGCAAAC
Molecule: ribosomal RNA, 425 nt
Filed under: uncultured bacterium
Lineage: Bacteria
Description: bacterial SSU rRNA
Rfam family: Bacterial small subunit ribosomal RNA
Source: RNAcentral